UGAUCUCAAAUCAGGUAGGACUACCCGCUGAACUUAAGCAUAUCAAUAAGCGGAGGAAAAGAAACUAACAAGGAUUCCCCUAGUAACUGCGAGUGAAGCGGGAAGAGCUCAAAUUUAA
RNAcentral lists this ribosomal RNA (118 nucleotides) under uncultured fungus. RNAcentral describes it as "partial 28S ribosomal RNA". It matches the Rfam family "Eukaryotic large subunit ribosomal RNA", at positions 1 to 118 of the family's 3401-position model. Lineage: Eukaryota; Fungi. The record is from RNAcentral.